UUGUCAUUCUCAGAAAAUCUGAUGCACUUCCUGAGUGCCAUUAACUGCAUCUUUUUGUUGCUAAAUUCAACUAGAGAUCCACUCACUGAUUUGAGUUGAGCCUAAUGUGUGCAUUUUUCAGUGACUAUUAAUGCAAAUUUAUAAAUUAAGAAGUUUUAUUGUGCAGGCAUUAAGAAUGAAAGCCUCAGCAAUGCCAUCAAUUACAGCUUCAUAAAUUUAUUUUAUGGUUAUUUGGCUCCUUUGGAGUCUGUCUCUUUGCUUGAAUGGACAAAUUUAAGUUAUAUUCCACAUUUAAAUUAUAUUCAAUUACCCAAACUGAGCCAAAAAAUGCUGUGUGUGUGUGUGUGUUUGUGACACUUUUAAAGCCACUGACUGAGCUCCAAUUGCUUAAGCUCCGCUGCUGCACAGCACAGACAAUGCAUUUAUAUUGUACUUACGGAAUAACAUUAAGUAAAUGAACAAUUUCAGAGCGGAGAUAACAUAAAUUUCGCAUUUCAUAUCAUACAUACUUAUUUUUGCAUUCCGGAGAAAUCGCAGAAUGGGAGAGCGUUGAGCGAGUGGGAGAGUGGAAGAGUGGGAGAGAGUCAUCCAAUCCAUAGGCUUGCACAGCUCGACGACCAAAACGUUGAUUGUGAUUAUCGCCGCCUGCCUGCGAAGGGUCUUAACCCCGCUCGGAGAAUUGACCAGCGCCAUAUGUACAUAGUAAAUACAUUUGUACAUACAUAUUUACAUAUAUGUAUACAUAAUUAUAAUUUUCAAUUUAU
RNAcentral lists this long non-coding RNA (764 nucleotides) under Drosophila guanche. Lineage: Eukaryota; Metazoa; Arthropoda; Insecta; Diptera; Drosophilidae. The record is from RNAcentral.